This 505-nucleotide ribosomal RNA is filed under the name uncultured bacterium. Its description in RNAcentral is "bacterial SSU rRNA". It matches the Rfam family "Bacterial small subunit ribosomal RNA", at positions 1010 to 1514 of the family's 1533-position model. The record is from RNAcentral.
CAUGUUCUCUUCGGAGCACUGGAGACAGGUGGUGCAUGGUUGUCGUCAGCUCGUGUCGUGAGAUGUUGGGUUAAGUCCCGCAACGAGCGCAACCCUUAUCCUUAGUAGCCAGCAGGGAAAGCUGGGCACUCUAGGGAGACUGCCAGGGAUAACCUGGAGGAAGGUGGGGAUGACGUCAAAUCAUCAUGCCCCUUAUGAUUUGGGCUACACACGUGCUACAAUGGCGUAAACAAAGGGAAGCGAAGUGGCGACAUGGAGCGAACCCCAAAAAUAACGUCUCAGUUCGGAUUGCAGGCUGCAACCCGCCUGCAUGAAGCCGGAAUCGCUAGUAAUCGCAGAUCAGAAUGCUGCGGUGAAUACGUUCCCGGGUCUUGUACACACCGCCCGUCACACCAUGGGAGUCGAUAACGCCCGAAGUCAGUGACCCAACCGAAAGGAGGGAGCUGCCGAAGGCGGGAUGGAUAACUGGGGUGAAGUCGUAACAAGGUAGCCGUAUCGGAAGGUG